Molecule: ribosomal RNA, 359 nt
Filed under: uncultured organism
Description: bacterial SSU rRNA
Rfam family: Bacterial small subunit ribosomal RNA
Source: RNAcentral
GGCUUAACACAUGCAAGUCGAGCGCCCCGCAAGGGGAGCGGCAGACGGGUGAGUAACGCGUGGGAACGUGCCCUUUGGUUCGGAACAACUCCGGGAAACUGGAGCUAAUACCGGAUAAGCCCUUCGGGGGAAAGAUUUAUCGCCAAAGGAUCGGCCCGCGUCUGAUUAGCUAGUUGGUGAGGUAAUGGCUCACCAAGGCGACGAUCAGUAGCUGGUCUGAGAGGAUGAUCAGCCACACUGGGACUGAGACACGGCCCAGACCCCUACGGGAGGCAGCAGUGGGGAAUAUUGGACAAUGGGCGCAAGCCUGAUCCAGCCAUGCCGCGUGUAGUGAUGAAGGCCUUAGGGUUGUAAAGCUC